Molecule: long non-coding RNA, 906 nt
Organism: Eptesicus fuscus (big brown bat)
Lineage: Eukaryota; Metazoa; Chordata; Mammalia; Chiroptera; Vespertilionidae
Exons: 2
Source: RefSeq, a predicted model, not a curated record
GAGAGAGAGAAUGGGCCGCAGAGUGUAGGGAAAGGAGAGUGGGGGGCCAGUCUUAGGGUCCGUGAUCAGCUUCUUAAGUGCAGCUGGUUCCAGGGGCUUUGCCAGGGCCUGGGCUGGGGGUGGGAGCCUUCCCGGCAGAGGGUUCGGGGGGAGCCACACCGGGUUCCCCGUGCCUCCCUCAGCCUUCUGUAUCCACAGCACACCUUUACCAACUGCUCCCUCUUGCUUUUCCCGGGUACUAGGGUCCCGUCCCCUCGCUUCCGUGUGUUCCCACGCCCGCCCCCACCCCCCCCCCCCCGGUUUAUGCGUCCACGGGUGGCACAGGAUUCGUGUGUCGGUCUUUAAAUCAGAAUCGGCUUCGGAUAUCUGUACCUGAAAACAGAAACGGUGUUCGUGAAUGAACAGCCUUCAGGUCAAAAGGAAGACGUGGCGGGAAAGCAGGAAGGGAAGCCAGCGGGCCUGGCGUGGGGCCAGGAAUAUGUUUCGGGAGAUGGCGAAUGUCUAUGACUUUGGCUGCGUGAAGGUGAUAACGUCCCAGACUCCAUGCGUCCGAGGCUGCUGGGUCGGGAGCGCAGCGGCGGACGCGCCCUGGAUGUCCUGCACGCGGUUCUCAGCGACGCUGCUCGCCAGCACCCCCAGGGCCCAGGCUCCCAGCCCCGUCGGCGGGAGCCAGCCCGGAAGGGGUCACGUCGGAUUGGCUGCUUCGGCGCCUGCACCCCCAGCAGGUGAAGAAAGGUUAAUAUAUUUCCUCUCUCCCCGUUUCUCUCUCUCCCUCAGCCUUGUCAGACCUUCUGAAAUUACUGUUUCUGUUUUAAGUUGAAUACUGAUUUUUUUUUUUACACUGACUUUGUACGAAUCCUUUUUUGAAAGAAUACCAAAAUAAAAUGCAGGGUCUCUGGACACAGA